AAUAAGCAAAAGGACUGCUAGUCAUC
Molecule: non-coding RNA, 26 nt
Filed under: Cricetulus griseus (Chinese hamster)
Lineage: Eukaryota; Metazoa; Chordata; Mammalia; Rodentia; Cricetidae
Source: RNAcentral